CCUACGGGAGGCUGCAGUGGGGAAUAUUGGACAAUGGGGGCAACCCUGAUCCAGCCAUGCCGCGUGUGUGAAGAAGGCCCUCGGGUUGUAAAGCACUUUCAGUGAGGAAGAACGCCUGGUGGUUAAUACCCUUCAGGAAAGACAUCACUCACAGAAGAAGCACCGGCUAACUCCGUGCCAGCAGCCGCGGUAAUACGGAGGGUGCGAGCGUUAAUCGGAAUUACUGGGCGUAAAGCGCGCGUAGGUGGCUUGAUAAGCCGGUUGUGAAAGCCCCGGGCUCAACCUGGGAACGGCAUCCGGAACUGUCAAGCUAGAGUGCAGGAGAGGAAGGUAGAAUUCCCGGUGUAGCGGUGAAAUGCGUAGAGAUCGGGAGGAAUACCAGUGGCGAAGGCGGCCUUCUGGACUGACACUGACACUGAGGUGCGAAAGCGUGGGUAGCAAACAGGAUUAGAUACCCGGGUAGUC
Molecule: ribosomal RNA, 465 nt
Filed under: Vreelandella stevensii
Lineage: Bacteria; Pseudomonadati; Pseudomonadota; Gammaproteobacteria; Oceanospirillales; Halomonadaceae
Description: partial 16S ribosomal RNA
Rfam family: Bacterial small subunit ribosomal RNA
Source: RNAcentral